UACGUAGGGUGCGAGCGUUGUUCGGAAUUAUUGGGCGUAAAGAGCUCGUAGGCGGUGUGUCACGUCGGCCGUGAAAACCUGCAGCUUAACUGUGGGCGUGCGGUCGAUACGGGCAUCACUGGAGUUCGGCAGGGGAGACUGGAAUUCCUGGUGUAGCGGUGAAAUGCGCAGAUAUCAGGAGGAACACCGGUGGCGAAGGCGGGUCUCUGGGCCGAUACUGACGCUGAGGAGCGAAAGCGUGGGGAGCAAACAGG
Molecule: ribosomal RNA, 254 nt
Filed under: uncultured bacterium
Lineage: Bacteria
Description: partial 16S ribosomal RNA
Rfam family: Bacterial small subunit ribosomal RNA
Source: RNAcentral